UACAGAGGUCUCAAGCGUUGUUCGGAUUCAUUGGGCGUAAAGGGUGUGUAGGUGGCGCGCUAAGUCGGGUGUGAAAUUUCGGAGCUUAACUCCGAAACUGCAUUCGAUACUGGCGUGCUUGAGGACUGGAGAGGAGACUGAAAUUCAUGGUGUAGCAGUGAAAUGCGUAGAGAUCAUGAGGAAGACCAGUGGCGAAGGCGGGUCUCUGGACAGUUCCUGACGCUGAGGCGCGAAGGCCAGGGGAGCAAACGGG
This 253-nucleotide ribosomal RNA is filed under the name uncultured bacterium. RNAcentral's name for it is "partial 16S ribosomal RNA". It matches the Rfam family "Bacterial small subunit ribosomal RNA", at positions 524 to 776 of the family's 1533-position model. The record is from RNAcentral.